This 627-nucleotide ribosomal RNA is filed under the name Mucor racemosus f. racemosus. RNAcentral describes it as "eukaryotic LSU rRNA". The stretch from base 231 to 383 matches the Rfam family "5.8S ribosomal RNA". Lineage: Eukaryota; Fungi; Mucoromycota; Mucoromycetes; Mucorales; Mucoraceae. The record is from RNAcentral.
GAACCUGCGGAAGGAUCAUUAAAUAAUCAAUAAUCUUGGCUUGUCCAUUAUUAUCUAUUUACUGUGAACUGUAUUAUUAUUUGACAUUUGAGGGAUGUUCCAAUGUUAUAAGGAUAGACAUUGGAAAUGUUAACCGAGUCAUAAUCAGGUUUAGGCCUGGUAUCCUAUUAUUAUUUACCAAAUGAAUUCAGAAUUAAUAUUGUAACAUAGACCUAAAAAAUCUAUAAAACAACUUUUAACAACGGAUCUCUUGGUUCUCGCAUCGAUGAAGAACGUAGCAAAGUGCGAUAACUAGUGUGAAUUGCAUAUUCAGUGAAUCAUCGAGUCUUUGAACGCAACUUGCGCUCAUUGGUAUUCCAAUGAGCACGCCUGUUUCAGUAUCAAAACAAACCCUCUAUCCAACUUUUGUUGUAUAGGAUUAUUGGGGGCCUCUCGAUCUGUAUAGAUCUUGAAAUCCCUGAAAUUUACUAAGGCCUGAACUUGUUUAAAUGCCUGAACUUUUUUUUAAUAUAAAGGAAAGCUCUUGUAAUUGACUUUGAUGGGGCCUCCCAAAUAAAUCUCUUUUAAAUUUGAUCUGAAAUCAGGCGGGAUUACCCGCUGAACUUAAGCAUAUCAAUAAGCGGAGGA